Ribosomal RNA from Microcebus murinus (gray mouse lemur), 128 nucleotides. The record is from Ensembl. Lineage: Eukaryota; Metazoa; Chordata; Mammalia; Primates; Cheirogaleidae.
GUCUACGGCCAUCCCACACUGAAUGAGCCCAAUAUCAUCUGAUCUCGGAAGCUGAGCAGGGUUAGGUCUGGUUAGUACUUGGAUGGGAGAUCUAUAUUUAGUUUGUUAGAAAUUUGAAUAUGUACAAU